Molecule: ribosomal RNA, 398 nt
Filed under: uncultured bacterium
Lineage: Bacteria
Description: bacterial SSU rRNA
Rfam family: Bacterial small subunit ribosomal RNA
Source: RNAcentral
GACGAACGCUGGCGGCGCGCUUAACACAUGCAAGUCGAGCGAGAACCAGGGCUUCGGCCCUGGGGACAGCGGCGAACGGGUGAGUAACACGUGGAUAACCUGCCCUCGGCACCGGGAUAGCCCGGGGAAACUCGGAUUAGUACCGGAUAGCCCUUCCGACUCUCGAGUCGGUCCGAAAAGGUAGCUUCGGCCUCUGGCCGAGGAUGGGUCCGCGGCGGAUUAGCUUGUUGGUGGGGUAACGGCCUACCAAGGCNCCGAUCCGUAGCUGGUCUGAGAGGACGAUCAGCCACACUGGGACUGAGACACGGCCCAGACUCCUACGGGAGGCAGCAGUGGGGAAUCUUGCGCAAUGGGCGAAAGCCUGACGCAGCGACGCCGCGUGAGGGAAGAAGGCCUGG